This 468-nucleotide long non-coding RNA is filed under the name Numida meleagris (helmeted guineafowl). RNAcentral describes it as "lncRNA (ENSNMEG00000005411.1)". The record is from RNAcentral. Lineage: Eukaryota; Metazoa; Chordata; Aves; Galliformes; Numididae.
CUGAUCUUUAAAAACUAACCACCUCCUCCAAGUCCUGGUUUGGUUUAGUUUAUUGCUGCAGGGUUCCAAUGUGUAACGUGUUGUUUGUUGUCAUGGAAGCACCGCUACAAGCUCGGUGUCAGGAACAUCCUCUUCUCCCCGCUCCCCCCAGCCUCCAGCAGAGCAAGGAGAUCUGGUUGCUCUGACUUCCAGAGGAAACGUGGGUUUUUACCAUAGAGGUGGGGGCACAGCUUCUCAGCCUAUACCAGGAGAAAUGUUGUACUCCAAAAGAAAGCAACCCGUGAGAGCAGGAACGUCUCUCAGCUGUCUCUUCUCAUGCACUGAUCGAUCUUGGGCGUGGGCUUCCUGCACAAAGCAAUCCGUGACAGGCUGUGGUGUGAUCGCUGCAGGCAGCCACAGCUCACAGUAAAUGCAAUUCUUACUCUAACGCUUGUUGCUUAUUAACACGUCGGAGGCCUGAUCCUGAGU